Molecule: transfer RNA, 67 nt
Filed under: Marmota monax (woodchuck)
Lineage: Eukaryota; Metazoa; Chordata; Mammalia; Rodentia; Sciuridae
Description: tRNA.Ala
Source: RNAcentral
GAUUGUAGCGCAGUGGUAGAGCACUUGCCUAGCACGUGUGAGGCCCUGGGUUGGAUCCCCAGCACCA